Molecule: ribosomal RNA, 390 nt
Filed under: Prevotella pallens
Lineage: Bacteria; Pseudomonadati; Bacteroidota; Bacteroidia; Bacteroidales; Prevotellaceae
Description: bacterial SSU rRNA
Rfam family: Bacterial small subunit ribosomal RNA
Source: RNAcentral
CUGACAGCAGUAGCGUGCAGGUAGACGGCCCUAUGGGUUGUAAACUGCUUUUAUACGAGAAUAAUUUGAUGCACGUGUGCGUUAUUGCAUGUAUCGUAUGAAUAAGGACCGGCUAAUUCCGUGCCAGCAGCCGCGGUAAUACGGAAGGUCCAGGCGUUAUCCGGAUUUAUUGGGUUUAAAGGGAGUGUAGGCGGUUUGUUAAGCGUGUUGUGAAAUUUAGAUGCUCAACAUUUAACUUGCAGCGCGAACUGGCGAACUUGAGUGCACACAACGUAUGCGGAAUUCAUGGUGUAGCGGUGAAAUGCUUAGAUAUCAUGAAGAACUCCGAUUGCGAAGGCAGCAUACGGGAGUGUAACUGACGCUUAAGCUCGAAGGUGCGGGUAUCGAACA